RNAcentral lists this ribosomal RNA (485 nucleotides) under uncultured Pseudomonas sp. Its description in RNAcentral is "bacterial SSU rRNA". It matches the Rfam family "Bacterial small subunit ribosomal RNA", at positions 898 to 1382 of the family's 1533-position model. The record is from RNAcentral. Lineage: Bacteria; Pseudomonadati; Pseudomonadota; Gammaproteobacteria; Pseudomonadales; Pseudomonadaceae.
AACUUAAAGGAAUUGACGGGGGCCCGCACAAGCGGAGGAACAUGUGGUUUAAUUCGAUGAUACGCGAGGAACCUUACCUGGGGCUAGAACGCAUUCGGAAUCAGGCCGAAAGGUCUGCGCCAGCGAUGGCCGGUUGCGAGGUGCUGCAUGGUUGUCGUCAGCUCGUGCCGUGAGGUGUCGGGUUAAGUCCCAUAACGAGCGCAACCCUUGUCCUUAGUUACCAGCACGUUAUGGUGGGCACUCUAAGGAGACUGCCGGUGACAAACCGGAGGAAGGUGGGGAUGACGUCAAGUCAUCAUGGCCCUUACGGCCUGGGCUACACACGUGCUACAAUGGUCGGUACAAAGGGUUGCCAAGCCGCGAGGUGGAGCUAAUCCCAUAAAACCGAUCGUAGUCCGGAUCGCAGUCUGCAACUCGACUGCGUGAAGUCGGAAUCGCUAGUAAUCGUGAAUCAGAAUGUCACGGUGAAUACGUUCCCGGGCCUU